GAUAGGUGUUGCCGUGGUCAAUUUCUCCUAGGAAGCCAUGCAUCUACAGGAUGGUCUGCCCAUUGCUUACACAUGUGAAAAGCGAGUGACGCAUGUCAAGCUGCUGGGAGCUCAGGGCACGUUCAUCAGCUUCAGCUACAUCAGUGCAACUGAAAAUGCAGCGCUGGUCGAUGGUCCUGCUGCCCUCUUGUCCGACAUACAUUUAUUUAUGUAUUUGACGCACCUGG
Triticum dicoccoides is the source of this 227-nucleotide long non-coding RNA. RefSeq lists it as uncharacterized. NCBI's taxonomy places the organism in Eukaryota, Viridiplantae, Streptophyta, Magnoliopsida, Poales, Poaceae. The record is from RefSeq and is a predicted model, not a curated record. The transcript has 3 exons.